Molecule: ribosomal RNA, 739 nt
Filed under: Parahaemophilus parainfluenzae
Lineage: Bacteria; Pseudomonadati; Pseudomonadota; Gammaproteobacteria; Pasteurellales; Pasteurellaceae
Description: Haemophilus parainfluenzae bacterial SSU rRNA
Rfam family: Bacterial small subunit ribosomal RNA
Source: RNAcentral
UGCAAGUCGACGGUAACAUAAAGAAGCUUGCUUCUUUGAUGACGAGUGGCGGACGGGUGAGUAAUGCUUGGGAAUCUAGCUUAUGGAGGGGGAUAACUACGGGAAACUGUAGCUAAUACCGCGUAAUAUCGAAAGAUUAAAGUGUGGGACCUUCGGGCCACAUGCCAUAGGAUGAGCCCAAGUGGGAUUAGGUAGUUGGUGAGGUAAAGGCUCACCAAGCCGACGAUCUCUAGCUGGUCUGAGAGGAUGACCAGCCACACUGGGACUGAGACACGGCCCAGACUCCUACGGGAGGCAGCAGUGGGGAAUAUUGCGCAAUGGGGGCAACCCUGACGCAGCCAUGCCGCGUGAAUGAAGAAGGCCUUCGGGUUGUAAAGUUCUUUCGGUAGCGAGGAAGGCACUUAGUUUAAUAGACUAGGUGAUUGACGUUAACUACAGAAGAAGCACCGGCUAACUCCGUGCCAGCAGCCGCGGUAAUACGGAGGGUGCGAGCGUUAAUCGGAAUAACUGGGCGUAAAGGGCACGCAGGCGGAGUUUUAAGUGAGGUGUGAAAGCCCCGGGCUUAACCUGGGAAUUGCAUUUCAUACUGGGAGUCUAGAGUACUUUAGGGAGGGGUAGAAUUCCACGUGUAGCGGUGAAAUGCGUAGAGAUGUGGAGGAAUACCGAAGGCGAAGGCAGCCCCUUGGGAAUGUACUGACGCUCAUGUGCGAAAGCGUGGGGAGCAAACAGGAUUAGAUAC